GAUGAACGCUAGCGGCAGGCUUAACACAUGCAAGUCGAGGGGCAGCGCGAUGUAGCAAUACAUUGGCGGCGACCGGCGCACGGGUGCGUAACACGUAUGGAAUCUGCCCUGUACUGGGGAAUAGCCCCGGAGAAAUCCGGAUUAAUGCCCCAUAACAGACGAAGUGGCAUCACUUUGUCUUGAAAGCUCCGGCGGUACAGGAUGACCAUGCGCACGAUUAGCUAGUUGGUGAGGUAACGGCUCACCAAGGCUACGAUCGUUAGGGGGCCUGAGAGGGUUAUCCCCCACACUGGUACCUGAGACACGGGACCAGACUCCUACGGGAGGCAGCAGUGAGGAAUAUUGCGCAAUGGAGGCAACUCUGACGCAGCCAUGCCGCGUGCAGGAAGAAGGCGCUACGCGUUGUAAACUGCUUUUACCCGGGAAGAAACCCCUCUACGUGUGGAGGGUUGACGGUACCGGAGGAAUAAGCACCGGCUAACUUCGUGCCAGCAG
RNAcentral lists this ribosomal RNA (495 nucleotides) under uncultured bacterium. RNAcentral's name for it is "bacterial SSU rRNA". It matches the Rfam family "Bacterial small subunit ribosomal RNA", at positions 28 to 514 of the family's 1533-position model. The record is from RNAcentral.